RNAcentral lists this small nucleolar RNA (122 nucleotides) under Dasypus novemcinctus (nine-banded armadillo). RNAcentral describes it as "Small nucleolar RNA SNORA31 (ENSDNOG00000046940.1)". It matches the Rfam family "Small nucleolar RNA SNORA31". From Rfam's summary of the family: ACA31 (SNORA31) belongs to the H/ACA class of snoRNAs which are thought to guide the sites of modification of uridines to pseudouridines. ACA31 is predicted to guide the pseudouridylation of U3713 in 28S rRNA and U218 in 18S rRNA. Lineage: Eukaryota; Metazoa; Chordata; Mammalia; Cingulata; Dasypodidae. The record is from RNAcentral.
CUGCAUCCACUGAUAGACCUUGAACAAAUUGUUAUUAUUUUGGUUUGCAGUAGAUGUGAAAGAAAAAGCUCCCUGUGCUUUCUGUCUUUGUGGCAAUCCAGAUUGAAUAGGGGAAUAUAUGU